UCGCGGCUUAUUACCGGCAGUCCCCUUAGAGUGCCCAACUGAAUGAUGGCAACUAAGGGCGAGGGUUGCGCUCGUUGCGGGACUUAACCCAACAUCUCACGACACGAGCUGACGUCAGCCAUGCAGCACCUGUGUUGCGGUUCCCUUUCGGGCACCGAGGUAUCUCUACCCCCUUCCGCACAUGUCAAGGGUAGGUAAGGUUUUUCGCGUUGCAUCGAAUUAAUCCACAUGCUCCGCCGCUUGUGCGGGCCCCCGUCAAUUUCUUUGAGUUUUAGCCUUGCGGCCGUACUCCCCAGGCGGGGUACUUAAUGCGUUAGCUACGGCACGGAUCCCAAGGAAGGAAACCCACACCUAGUACCCACCGUUUACGGCGUGGACUAC
RNAcentral lists this unclassified non-coding RNA (381 nucleotides) under uncultured bacterium. RNAcentral describes it as "contains 16S-23S intergenic spacer region". The record is from RNAcentral.